GUUUUGUGCUUUAAAAAUGCAAUAUCUGACCAAGAUUCGCCAAUCUCAUACAAGCCAUUUACUUUGCAAGUGAGAUAGCUUCCCCACCAGCUUUAUUUUUUAACAUGAAAGCUGAUGCCAAGGCCAAAAGAAGUUUAAAGCAUCUGUAAAUUUGGACUGUUUUCCUUCAACCACCAUUUUUUUUUGUGGUUAUUAUUUUUGUCACGGAAAACAUCCUCUCCAAAGUUGGAGCUUCUAUUGCCAUGAACCAUGCUUACAAAGAAAGCACUUCUUAUUGAAAUGAAUUCCUGCAUUUGAUAGCAAUAUGGAGUCUCACUCUGUCACCCAGGCUGGA
RNAcentral lists this long non-coding RNA (334 nucleotides) under Homo sapiens (human). Its description in RNAcentral is "HSALNT0365338". The record is from RNAcentral. Lineage: Eukaryota; Metazoa; Chordata; Mammalia; Primates; Hominidae.